CAUCCACCAUGGUCGCCGCCAUCAAGGGCUUCUUCACGGAGAUGUGGAGGACGCCAUGGACCUGCAGCUCCAAGGUCAACAGGGAGGAACCCUAGCCAUAAGCACCUCCUCGGAUGACGCCUCUGCUACACCAAGAUAGAGAUAUAUAUGAUAUCUACAUGGCUGCUAUGCUACUUUUUUUGUGUGAUGAAUCAUUGUGAGUUUCGAAGAAACUUCCAAUGUUACCUCCGCCAAGUUUGCCGGCAGAAGAAGCACAUCCAUUGAGCCGUUCAAUGUCGCCUGCGGUGGCUACACCAGAGGUAUGUAUCCCCUUGAAAGCUAAUCAGUUGAUAGAAAUAGAAGCCCCUAUUUCAGUUUAUUGUUUCUGAAUUGGUGCUACUUCUGAUGGCUCUUGUUUCAGUUUAUUGUUUCUGAAUUUAUACUUUGAAUUUAGUAGAUAGAAGCCCCUGAAAUUUGACCCAUCUAUGUUAUGUCACAUCCAACAGAUAAAAU
Long non-coding RNA from Triticum dicoccoides, 492 nucleotides. RefSeq lists it as uncharacterized. The record is from RefSeq and is a predicted model, not a curated record. The transcript has 3 exons. Lineage: Eukaryota; Viridiplantae; Streptophyta; Magnoliopsida; Poales; Poaceae.